CCUACGGGAGGCAGCAGUGAGGAAUAUUGGUCAAUGGACGAGAGUCUGAACCAGCCAAGUAGCGUGAAGGAUGACUGCCCUAUGGGUUGUAAACUUCUUUUAUAUGGGAAUAAAAUGUUCCACGUGUGGGAUUUUGUAUGUACCAUAUGAAUAAGGAUCGGCUAACUCCGUGCCAGCAGCCGCGGUAAUACGGAGGAUCCGAGCGUUAUCCGGAUUGAUUGGGUUUAAAGGGAGCGUAGGUGGGUUGUUAAGUCAGUUGUGAAAGUUUGCGGCUCAACCGUAAAAUUGCAGUUGAAACUGGCAGUCUUGAGUACAGUAGAGGUGGGCGGAAUUCGUGGUGUAGCGGUGAAAUGCUUAGAUAACACGAAGAACUCCGAUUGCGAAGGCAGCUCACUGGACUGCAACUGACACUGAGGCUCGAAAGUGUGGGUAUCAAACAGGAUUAGAUACCCCGGUAGUC
RNAcentral lists this ribosomal RNA (460 nucleotides) under uncultured bacterium. Its description in RNAcentral is "partial 16S ribosomal RNA". It matches the Rfam family "Bacterial small subunit ribosomal RNA", at positions 338 to 795 of the family's 1533-position model. The record is from RNAcentral.